AUUGAACGCUGGCGGCAUGCCUUACACAUGCGAGUCGAACGGCAGCACGGGUGCUUGCACCUGGUGGCGAGUGGCGAACGGGUGAGUAAUACAUCGGAACGUACCUUAUCGUGGGGGAUACCGCAGCGAAAGUUGCGCUAAUACCGCAUACGCCCUGAGGGGGAAAGCGGGGGACCGUAAGGCCUCGCGCGAUUAGAGCGGCCGAUGUCUGAUUAGCUUGUUGGUGAGGUAAAAGCUCACCAAGGCGAUGAUCAGUAGCUGGUCUGAGAGGACGAUCAGCCACACUGGGACUGAGACACGGCCCAGACUCCUACGGGAGGCAGCAGUGGGGAAUUUUGGACAAUGGGGGCAACCCUGAUCCAGCAAUGCCGCGUGAGUGAAGAAGGCCUUCGGGUUGUAAAGCUCUUCUGUCAGGGAAGAAACAGCAGCUCUAACACAGUCUGCGAAUGACGGUACCUGAAGAAUAAGCACCGGCUAACUACGUGCCAGCAGCCGCCGUAA
This 501-nucleotide ribosomal RNA is filed under the name uncultured bacterium. RNAcentral describes it as "partial 16S ribosomal RNA". It matches the Rfam family "Bacterial small subunit ribosomal RNA", at positions 30 to 523 of the family's 1533-position model. The record is from RNAcentral.